Molecule: ribosomal RNA, 450 nt
Filed under: uncultured bacterium
Lineage: Bacteria
Description: partial 16S ribosomal RNA
Rfam family: Bacterial small subunit ribosomal RNA
Source: RNAcentral
GUGGGGAAUUUUGGACAAUGGGCGCAAGCCUGAUCCAGCAAUGCCGCGUGCAGGAAGAAGGCCUUCGGGUUGUAAACUGCUUUUGUACGGAACGAAACGGUCCUGGUUAAUACCUGGGGCUAAUGACGGUACCGUAAGAAUAAGCACCGGCUAACUACGUGCCAGCAGCCGCGGUAAUACGUAGGGUGCGAGCGUUAAUCGGAAUUACUGGGCGUAAAGCGUGCGCAGGCGGUGCUGUAAGACAGGCGUGAAAUUCCCGGGCUCAACCUGGGAAUUGCGCUUGUGACUGCAGUGCUGGAGUACGGCAGAGGGGGAUGGAAUUCCGCGUGUAGCAGUGAAAUGCGUAGAUAUGCGGAGGAACACCGAUGGCGAAGGCAGUCCCCUGGGCCUGUACUGACGCUCAUGCACGAAAGCGUGGGGAGCAAACAGGAUUAGAAACCCUGGUAGUCC